Molecule: non-coding RNA, 18 nt
Filed under: Arabidopsis thaliana (thale cress)
Lineage: Eukaryota; Viridiplantae; Streptophyta; Magnoliopsida; Brassicales; Brassicaceae
Source: RNAcentral
UGGUAGUCCAACAAUAGG